RNAcentral lists this ribosomal RNA (551 nucleotides) under uncultured archaeon. Its description in RNAcentral is "bacterial SSU rRNA". It matches the Rfam family "Archaeal small subunit ribosomal RNA", at positions 328 to 879 of the family's 1478-position model. The record is from RNAcentral.
GGGUGCAGCAGGCGCGAAAACUUUACAAUGCCGGCAACGGCGAUAAGGGAACCUCGAGUGCCAGGUUACAAAUCUGGCUGUCGUGAUGCCUAAAAAGCAUUGCAUAGCAAGGGCCGGGCAAGACCGGUGCCAGCCGCCGCGGUAACACCGGCGGCUCGAGUGGUAACCGUUAUUAUUGGGUCUAAAGGGUCUGUAGCCGGCCGGGUAAGUCUCUUGGGAAAUCUGGCAGCUUAACUGUCAGGCUUUCAGGAGAUACUGCCUGGCUCGAGGCCGGGAGAGGUGAGAGGUACUUCAGGGGUAGGGGUGAAAUCUUGUAAUCCUUGAAGGACCACCAGUGGCGAAGGCGUCUCACCAGAACGGACCUGACGGCAAGGGACGAAAGCUAGGGGCACGAACCGGAUUAGAUACCCGGGUAGUCCUAGCCGUAAACGAUACUCGCUAGGUGUCGGCCACGGUGCGACCGUGGUCGGUGCCGUAGGGAAGCCGUGAAGCGAGCCACCUGGGAAGUACGGCCGCAAGGCUGAAACUUAAAGGAAUUGGCGGGGGAGCAC